CACAGUAGAAAUAGAAUGUCUAACAUUACACAUCAAUGGUGUAGAUAAAUGUACUACAGAAGCAGUGAAUAACUUUGUCUGAUGACUCUAAUGUGAAGGGGGGGUCGAAUGAGACAGGAAACAGUCACCACUGCCACGAGUUGACCAUGCUUUCACCAUGCGCGUUCACAGGGGAAGGACCUGUGUUCCACCGGUCAUCUGAAGUCAUUCUAUUUCUCCGGUUGGAACGUUAUUCAAGAUAUAUGUAAACAACAUUCUAAAGAUUGAUUCAGUACAUCGUUUGACAUGUUUCUACUGACUGUUACGGAACUCUUGGACAUUUCGUCACGUUAUAGUGGACGUGCUUUGUGACUUUGGAAUUGUUUACCAAACACACUAACUAAAGUAGCUAAUUGGACAUAAAUAACGGACAUUUCGAACAAAUCAAACAUUUAUUGUGGACCUGGGAUUCCUAGGACUGCAUUCUGAUGAAGUUAUUCAAAGAUCUAUCCACUGCCUUCGACACAGUGAACCAUCAGAUCCUCCACCACUCUCUCAGGGCUGAAUGCCUCAGGCUUUGCACACUCUUGGAUUGCAUCCUACCUGGCAGGGCGCUCCUACCAGGUGACGUGGAGAGGAUCUGUGUCUGCACCACAUACUCUCACUACUGGUAUUCCCCAGGGCUCGGUACUAGGCCCUCUCCUCUUCUCUCUAUACACCAAGUCACUCGGCUCCGUCAUAUCCUCACAUGGUCUCUCCUAUUAUUGCUAUGCAGAUGACACUGAACUACUCCCCCCCCCACCCACCCUUCUGACACCCAGGUGGUGACACACGUCUCUGCGUACCUGGCAGAUAACUCAGCUUGGAAGUCGGCCCAGCACCUCAAGCUCAUUUUCAACAAGAUGGAGCUGAUCUUCAUCCUCAGGAAGGCCUGCCAGCUCCAAGACUUCUCUAUCAAGGUUGACAACUCAGCGGUGUCCACCUUCCUGAGUGCAAAGAACCUUGGCGUUACCCUGGACAACACCCUGUCAUUCUCUGCAAACAUCAAAGCAGUUACUCGCUCUUGCAGGUUCAUGCUCUACAACAUCAAUAGAGUAUGACCCUACCUCACACAGAAAUCGGCACAGGUCCAAGUGCAGGCAGUCAUCUUUCGUCUGAACCAGCUUCCCCCUGAAGCUAGGACAGCAGAGUCCCUGCCCAUCUUCCGAAAACAUCUGAAACCCUAACUUGUCAGAGUAUCUUUGAAAACUACCACCCCCCUUUAGGAUGGGACCCUUUUUUUUCAAUUUUCGCCUAAAAUGACAUGACCUAAAUCUAACUGCCUGUCGCUCCAGACCUGAAGCAAGGAUAUGCAUAUUCUUGAUACCAUUUGAAAGGAAACACUUUGAAGUUUGUGGAAAUGGGAAAUUAAUGUAAGAGAAUAUAACACAUUAGAUCUGGUGAAAGAUAAUACAAAGAAAAAAAUGUUUUUUUGUAUUGUUUUUGUUCCAUCAUCUUUGAAAUGCAAGAGAGAGGCCAUUAUCUGACUUAGGACUCUAGGUACAAUUUAUUUCUUGGCCACUAGAUGGCAGCAGUGUAUGUGCAAAGUUUUAGAGUGAUCCAAUGAACCAUUGCAUUUAUGUUCAAAAUGUUGUAUCAAGUCUGCCCAAAUGUGCCUAAUUGGUUUAUUGAUACAUUUUCAAGUACAUAACUGUGCACUCUCCUCAAACAGUAGCAUGGUAUUCUUUCACUGUAAUAGCUACCGUAAAUUGGACAGUGCA
Long non-coding RNA from Oncorhynchus tshawytscha (Chinook salmon), 1739 nucleotides. The record is from Ensembl. NCBI's taxonomy places the organism in Eukaryota, Metazoa, Chordata, Actinopteri, Salmoniformes, Salmonidae.